GACGAACGCUGGCGGCGGGCUUAACACAUGCAAGUCGAACGAGAAGCCCAGUGCUUGCACUGGGUGGAAAGUGGCGCACGGGUGAGUAACGCGUAGGCAACCUACCCUUAGCUGGGGAAUAACCAGGGGAAACCCUGGCUAAUACCACAUAAUGUCGGAGCACCGCAUGGCGCUCCGAUCAAAGCUUUGGCGGCUAAGGAUGGGCCUGCGUUGGAUUAGCUAGUUGGUGGGGUAAAGGCCCACCAAGGCAACGAUCUAUAGCGGGUCUGAGAGGAUGAUCCGCCACACUGGCACUGAGACACGGGCCAGACUCCUACGGGAGGCAGCAGUGAGGAAUAUUGCGCAAUGGACGAAAGUCUGACGCAGCCACGCCGCGUGCAGGAAGACACCCCUCUGGGGCGUAAACUGCUUUUUUAUACGGGAAGAACACCCUACUCGGUAGGUCUGACGGUACCGUACGAAUAAGGACCGGCUAACUCCGUGCCAGCGCCGCGGUAA
Molecule: ribosomal RNA, 498 nt
Filed under: uncultured bacterium
Lineage: Bacteria
Description: bacterial SSU rRNA
Rfam family: Bacterial small subunit ribosomal RNA
Source: RNAcentral